GCUAACGUUCAAACGGGGCAAUUUCCACGGGUCGAGCGCGGGAUUGCAACCCUGAUCCUCUUCGGAGGUGACGCUUGUGGAACCGAGGCGGCGGACGGGUGAGUAACACGUGGGCAACCUGCCUGUAAGACUGGGAUAACCCCGGGAAACCGGGGCUAAACCGGAUAAUACUUUUCAUCACCUGAUGGAAAGUUGAAAGGUGGCUUCUUGCUACCACUUACAGAUGGGCCCGCGGCGCAUUAGCUAGUUGGUGAGGUAACGGCUCACCAAGGCAACGAUGCGUAGCCGACCUGAGAGGGUGAUCGGCCACACUGGGACUGAGACACGGCCCAAGACUCCUACGGGAGGCAGCAGUAGGGAAUCUUCCGCAAUGGACGAAAGUCCUGACGGGAGCAACUCCCCCGGUAAGUUAAUAAAAUGGUUUUACCGGAUCCGAAAACCUUUGUUUUUUGGGAAGAACAAGGUCCGGUUUGAAAUGGGCGGCGCCCUUGACGGUACCCUAAUCAGAAAAGCCCGGGCUAACUACGUACAGCACGCCGCGGUUAAUUACGUAGGGGGCAAGCGGUUAUCCGAAUUAUUUGGGCGUAAAGCGCGCGCCGGCGGGUCCUUUAAGUCUGAUGUAAAGCCCACCAGGCUUUACCGGUGAAAGGGUCAAUUGGAAACCUGGAAGGACUUGAGUCAGAAGAGGAGAGAGUAAAAUUCCUCGUGUAGCGGGUAAAUGCGAGAGAUGUGGGGACACCAGUGGCGAAGGGGCUAAUGGUCGCCCCCUUGGAAACGACCCUUAGGACCGAACUACAAGGGUGGUUCCCAAGGGGUUCCGCCCCUUUAUGCGUAAGUUACGCAAUUAGCACUCCGCCUGGGGAGUCGGCCGCAAGGCUGAAACUCAAUUUAAUUGACGGGGGCCCGCACAAGCGGUGGACGCAUGUGGUUUAAUUCUGACGCAACGCAAAGAACCUUACCAGGUCUUGACAUCCUCUGCAAUCGGGAGAGAUCCUGAGUUCCCUUCGGGGACAGACUGACAGGUGGUUGCAUGGUUGAUCGUCAGCUCGCGUCGUGAGAUGUUGGGUUAAGUCCCGCAACGAGCGCAACCCUUUGAUUCUUAGUUGCCAGCAUUUAGUUGGGCACUUCUAAGGUGACUGCCGGUGACAAACCGGAGGAAGGUGGGGAUGACGUCAAAUCAUCAUGCCCCUUAUGACCUGGGCUACACACGUGCUACAAUGGAUGAACAAAGGAAGCAAAACCGCGAGGUCAAGCAAAUCCCAUAAAACCAUUCUCAGUUCGGAUUGCAGGCUGCAACUCGCCUGCAUAAGCCGAAUCGCUAGUAAUCGCGGAUCAGCAUGCCGCGGUGAAUACGUUCCCGGGCCUUGUACACACCGCCCGUCACACCACGAGAUGUUGGUACACCCAAGUGGUAGGUACCUUUGAGCCAGCCACCAAGGUGGACAAUUGUGGG
RNAcentral lists this ribosomal RNA (1453 nucleotides) under Virgibacillus sp. SK37-1. RNAcentral's name for it is "partial 16S ribosomal RNA". It matches the Rfam family "Bacterial small subunit ribosomal RNA". The record is from RNAcentral. Lineage: Bacteria; Bacillati; Bacillota; Bacilli; Caryophanales; Bacillaceae.